Haliotis rufescens (red abalone) is the source of this 958-nucleotide long non-coding RNA. RefSeq lists it as uncharacterized. The record is from RefSeq and is a predicted model, not a curated record. NCBI's taxonomy places the organism in Eukaryota, Metazoa, Mollusca, Gastropoda, Lepetellida, Haliotidae. The transcript has 4 exons.
CGGUCCUUUUCUGAUAUUUCGUUUUGUCCGUGACAUGGUCACCCGAAGCGUAACAAUGACCCAUAUAUACAGCCGCGCUCUUGACUACGUAAAAUCUCAUGACGUCAUAUCAGGUGACCGAGGCCGAUGCAGAACCUAAAUGAACAAGGAGACAAGCGAUAAGUAUGUAUUAGUACAUAAGGGAGAUAACUGAUGUGGUCUUGGAGCCCAUGUAAACAUUACACCGUGGUUUACGACUAUGCCAUGUAGUGUAUAUAUAUGUGUAGGGUAGUAUUUGAUGCAUGACUGCGUUUCUAAAAUUGUUAUAACCCAAAAGGGUAUCCGGCUUUUUUUGUGGUCGCGUGAUUCCCUUCCGUUUCCCGGGCCAGGCAAAGGUGUGUCGGGUGUGCACGAGGGGUCGAUCGGAUCUGUUUUCUGCGGUGAGAAUUUAGGACGCGGCCCAUAUACACAGGCCCAAGAAGGACAAAUGCAAACAGUGAAAUUUAUAACUCGGGGAAGCAAACGCCCUGUCUGAUGUCAACUGAGUGAUAAAGCUCACAGGUCAUAACCUGGAUCCGAGGCAAAGACUUUCUUGGAACAGUUACCCUGUGCCCUUCGUCGUUCGAAAUCUGAAUGAAAUCAUACAGACACACAACUCACAGCUCACACACAGUAACUGCGGUACCUUAGAUGACCGGUCCACCCAAAUCACCUGUAACCACGAAGAGGAACUCGUGAAGCACGCCUCGUAGCGACCAGCCAGGCAGAUAGCGCCACUAUCAGGUAUUAGAGGAACUCCAUGCUGUCCAUAUCGAUGGUUGGGAAAGCCUUAUCCCCGAUGACGACGUCGGAACAUGCUUCAGAUGCCUACAAAGACGCUGUCGCCUUUAUUGGGCAGCUGCGUAACAAUGAGGAGAAGCUUAUUGAGAGAGCCAAACUUUUUCUCAAGAAGGACAGAGACUACUGCAAACGCGUCUUU